RNAcentral lists this long non-coding RNA (1141 nucleotides) under Calidris pugnax (ruff). Its description in RNAcentral is "lncRNA (ENSCPUG00000001814.1)". The record is from RNAcentral. Lineage: Eukaryota; Metazoa; Chordata; Aves; Charadriiformes; Scolopacidae.
GAACCCGCCUCCGGUUCCAGCCGCGGCUCCGCCACACCGGAGGGGAGGCCGCCCGCCACCCGCCCUCCGGUUCCUGGGCUGCACUCGCCAGAAGGCGGCUGAUUGGCCAAAAAAAAGCAACGAAAUCGUCAACUUCUUUUGAGUUUGAUGGAACCAAGUGGCUCAUUUUGGCUGUUUACCACAGCGUGGAAAGAGCAGGAAGGAAUACUUGAGACCCUUACAUCAGAAAGUGGCUCCUCGUACAUCCACCUGCUUGAUGUAAUAAGGCAUAUUAGAGAGAACCGUCGCAGUGCCCAGGUUUCACCUUAGGGCAUUAGCUGCUGUGAGAACAAUUAGCAGAUGUCCCAAAGCCAGAGUGGACAGCAAAGAACACCCUGCUAAUCACCCUGGGUGAAGGACCACGCUGAAAAGAUGACCCGUGUUCCAGUCCUAGCCCAGGCUAGGAAGUUCUACACCACAAUCCAUGCCCUGGUAAAGCCAAGUGACGAGAAGGCCGCCUUGCUCAUUUACCCUGGAGGUGUUCAAGAGACGGGUUGAUGUGGUGCUGGGAGGUAUGGUUUAGUGAUGGUGAUGCUCCUUGUUUGUUGUGUGGGUGUCUAUUUUUGUCAAAAUUAGGUUGACGGUUGGACAAGAUGAUCUUUAAGGUCCCUUCCACCCUAGAAGAUUCUGUGAUUCUGUGAAAAAAUUCCCCUCCACCGGUACUGCAGGGUGACACAUCCUCUUCCUACAGAGCAGCAUCAGGAAGAGCUCAAGCGUAUUCGCUUCCAUCUGGCUUCCCUCCUGCCCUGCCCCUGCCACAGCUUCAGGCUGAGGAAUCUUUAGAAAGCAAUUUACAUCCAAUGGCUUUAAUAGAUCUUACCUGUCAAGUAGCGGUAGGACUUUUAAAUGUGGAAUUAGUAUUCCUUUAGCCCUCAAAGAAGUACCGAACCCUAAUGGCCUUUCCCCAGAAAGAAAGAAUAUAAAGCUAAGAAUAAGCAUAUUGAGAAUGAUACACAAAUAUUAACCUGUCCUGCUUGCUGGCUACUUAUUCUGCCAAAGAACCUAGUUUUGCCGUACUUUUUACAGCGGGAGCAGACCUAAAGACUGAGAAUAGGAACUUAAAUAGAGGCAGAGGAAAAACCAAAUGAGGAAGGCUUUAGGA